RNAcentral lists this transfer RNA (79 nucleotides) under Sphaerodactylus townsendi. Its description in RNAcentral is "tRNA-Val". The stretch from base 5 to 75 matches the Rfam family "tRNA". From Rfam's summary of the family: Transfer RNA (tRNA) molecules are approximately 80 nucleotides in length. Lineage: Eukaryota; Metazoa; Chordata; Lepidosauria; Squamata; Sphaerodactylidae. The record is from RNAcentral.
GGGAGUGGUUGUGGCUUAGAGGUAUAGCAUCUGCUUGACAUGCAGAACGUCCCAGGUUCAAUUCCUGCUAUCUCUCUCA